This 1500-nucleotide ribosomal RNA is filed under the name Salmonella enterica subsp. enterica serovar Freetown. Its description in RNAcentral is "partial 23S ribosomal RNA". It matches the Rfam family "Bacterial large subunit ribosomal RNA", at positions 699 to 2179 of the family's 2925-position model. Lineage: Bacteria; Pseudomonadati; Pseudomonadota; Gammaproteobacteria; Enterobacterales; Enterobacteriaceae. The record is from RNAcentral.
GUUGCAGGGUAUAGACCCGAAACCCGGUGAUCUAGCCAUGGGCAGGUUGAAGGUUGGGUAACACUAACUGGAGGACCGAACCGACUAAUGUUGAAAAAUUAGCGGAUGACCUGUGGCUGGGGGUGAAAGGCCAAUCAAACCGGGAGAUAGCUGGUUCUCCCCGAAAGCUAUUUAGGUAGCGCCUCGUGAAUUCAUCUCCGGGGGUAGAGCACUGUUUCGGCUAGGGGGCCAUCCCGGCUUACCAACCCGAUGCAAACUGCGAAUACCGGAGAAUGUUAUCACGGGAGACACACGGCGGGUGCUAACGUCCGUCGUGAAGAGGGAAACAACCCAGACCGCCAGCUAAGGUCCCAAAGUCAUGGUUAAGUGGGAAACGAUGUGGGAAGGCCCAGACAGCCAGGAUGUUGGCUUAGAAGCAGCCAUCAUUUAAAGAAAGCGUAAUAGCUCACUGGUCGAGUCGGCCUGCGCGGAAGAUGUAACGGGGCUAAACCAUGCACCGAAGCUGCGGCAGCGACGCUGAUGCGUUGUUGGGUAGGGGAGCGUUCUGUAAGCCUGUGAAGGUGGCCUGUGAGGGUUGCUGGAGGUAUCAGAAGUGCGAAUGCUGACAUAAGUAACGAUAAAGCGGGUGAAAAGCCCGCUCGCCGGAAGACCAAGGGUUCCUGUCCAACGUUAAUCGGGGCAGGGUGAGUCGACCCCUAAGGCGAGGCCGAAAGGCGUAGUCGAUGGGAAACGGGUUAAUAUUCCCGUACUUGGUGUUACUGCGAAGGGGGGACGGAGAAGGCUAUGUUGGCCGGGCGACGGUUGUCCCGGUUUAAGCGUGUAGGUGUGUGUUCCAGGUAAAUCCGGUUCACUUUAACACUGAGGCGUGAUGACGAGGCACUACGGUGCUGAAGCAACAAAUGCCCUGCUUCCAGGAAAAGCCUCUAAGCAUCAGGUAACAUCAAAUCGUACCCCAAACCGACACAGGUGGUCAGGUAGAGAAUACCAAGGCGCUUGAGAGAACUCGGGUGAAGGAACUAGGCAAAAUGGUGCCGUAACUUCGGGAGAAGGCACGCUGACAUGUAGGUGAAGUGAUUUACUCACGGAGCUGAAGUCAGUCGAAGAUACCAGCUGGCUGCAACUGUUUAUUAAAAACACAGCACUGUGCAAACACGAAAGUGGACGUAUACGGUGUGACGCCUGCCCGGUGCCGGAAGGUUAAUUGAUGGGGUCAGCGCAAGCGAAGCUCCUGAUCGAAGCCCCGGUAAACGGCGGCCGUAACUAUAACGGUCCUAAGGUAGCGAAAUUCCUUGUCGGGUAAGUUCCGACCUGCACGAAUGGCGUAAUGAUGGCCAGGCUGUCUCCACCCGAGACUCAGUGAAAUUGAACUCGCUGUGAAGAUGCAGUGUACCCGCGGCAAGACGGAAAGACCCCGUGAACCUUUACUAUAGCUUGACACUGAACAUUGAGCCUUGAUGUGUAGGAUAGGUGGGAGGCUUUGAAGUGUGGACGCCAGUCUGC